ACCUAUGAUGUCACAAUCCAACUUGUCUGAGAUUAUAGUUAACCCAAGACCCUAUUUAUAGGGAGAACCUACUUGGUGUUGCUAUAUGUCCGUUGACAGCAAAUAUUUAACUGAGGU
Lupinus angustifolius (narrow-leaved blue lupine) is the source of this 117-nucleotide non-coding RNA. The record is from Rfam. Lineage: Eukaryota; Viridiplantae; Streptophyta; Magnoliopsida; Fabales; Fabaceae.